CCUGAGCCGCUCAUGGAAAAGCUUGUGGAUAACGUCGCUGUUCCUUCUGCGGUAGUCGAGGAGGGAAACCCCUGGGCUGGCCCUGGGUCUGGUUCGGCAGCGGGAAUCCCGGGAGUGUCUUGAUGACCGCAGAUGAAAUAUGAAUGGUGAAGGCCUUGUGGAAGAAGGCAGGGAAAAACCAGUAAGUCAAAAUCUUUUUGGUCAGUAAAGCAAGCUGACUGCAAAUGCAACCCCAUGCCAAGAGAGCAGCACGGAGCCGGCGCGGUGGUGAGCUGCUUGUCCAGACACGAGCCGGGAACCGCUGGCCUCGACGGAGACACCCAGGCGCGAGGCUUCUCAGCAUAUUUCAGGUGGACAGAAGCAUUCUCCUGUGCGGUGGGGAGGCAAAGCGCAUAUGUCAGCAUCAUCAUUUGCAACUGGAAAAUGGAAACCUGGGGAAGGUCUGGAAGGCAGAGCUGGCGCUGGAGCUGGGAUGUGCAUCCCCACGCAGGAUGGUGGGGCAGAUAGAGAGGUUCGGAGGCCAGCAACGAGGAUGAUGGAGGAUACAGAAGUGACAUGGAUGGAGCUGCAGAGAAAAUGCAGAAGCAUUGGGGCUGAUGUAUGCUGAGGAUAAACGACUGAGGGGCAGCUUGUGAUACGUAACAGACUGCUGUGGAGAAGGAAGGAAUCAUCUGUUCUCCAUAUCUAAAAUGCAGCAAGGAUGAUUUAGGGCAAACAUCCGGGAUAUUUCUCCAAUGACUUUCCUGGAAGAAGACAGACAAAUGGUUCCUGCUGUUGAAAGAAGAUAGGCUGCAGAUCCUUACCCCCAGCUGAAAGUCCUCCUCAUCUCCUCCGUGCAGAGGCUGGGGUGGCUGUGGGUGAGCACCAGCAGUGCAGGCCCAAAGCACUGGCACCACAGUUGCUUUCAAUAGCAAAAGUUUCAGGUUUCGGAAGUUUAGACUAAUUAUAAGAGCAGACCAAGAUGAUGUGGCCACCACUGAGCGCUUUGCCUGCCUGGGGCAGCAGAUCAACGUGCAGUGGUGCGAGGAUGCGUCCCCGGA
Long non-coding RNA from Dromaius novaehollandiae (emu), 1040 nucleotides. RefSeq lists it as uncharacterized. NCBI's taxonomy places the organism in Eukaryota, Metazoa, Chordata, Aves, Casuariiformes, Dromaiidae. The transcript has 6 exons. The record is from RefSeq and is a predicted model, not a curated record.